UGUGUUUAUAGCCAUAUAUUUAUCAAUACUGUAAGCUUUAUUUCCCUUAAUCAGUACCAAAAUAAAAAAAUUAGUUAAUAUGAUUAAUUAAUUGGUUUAUUUUUUCAUUGCCUCAUAUUAUUGUAACUCUAAGGCAGACAACUCAACUCAAAGUCAGGAGGUAAUAAUAGACGAUGUAUUUAUUUUAAGCUAUCAACAAAUAGUUAGACUUGGACUUCCGCUAUCAAGGCACAGGGAGUAAUGUCUUAUGUUCUAAGAGUCCUAAUUAAUACCAGAACAUCAGAACAGACCACCGACACACUUCCCAGUGUCGUUCCAUGUCUUCCGAACAGCUCACUUAUAUCCCACAGGACAGCACUUAGUCCCAGACUGUUCAGACUCACAUAAUUCCUGCUGUAUCAACAAGUCCUUCUUCCUGUAUUAACAUGCCUUUCACUACUUGUGUUGAAUGGCGCUCUGAUGCGCACCACCGGUGUGUCUCGGGAGCUGAGUUACAACAAUGUUAUAUUAGAACAAUAAAUUUCAACUCAAUCCAAUAAUGGCAAGUGGGGAAACUAGCGUGUAACAAAUUUAUACCAGACAGACACCAAAAGUUGAUAUAUGAUUUGUACUAGACAGAUACAAGAGUUGAUAAAAGAUUUGUACUUGACAGACACAAAAAGUCGAUAAAAGAUUUAUACUAGACAGAUAAAAGAGUUGAUAAAAGAUUUGUACU
Molecule: non-coding RNA, 715 nt
Organism: Biomphalaria pfeifferi
Lineage: Eukaryota; Metazoa; Mollusca; Gastropoda; Planorbidae
Source: the annotation of a GenBank genome assembly